UACGGAGGGUGCAAGCGUUAUCCGGAUUUACUGGGUUUAAAGGGUGCGUAGGCGGGCAGGUAAGUCAGAGGUGAAAUCUCCGAGCUUAACUCGGAAACUGCCUUUGAUACUAUUUGUCUUGAAUAUUGUGGAGGUAAGCGGAAUAUGUCAUGUAGCGGUGAAAUGCUUAGAUAUGACAUAGAACACCUAUUGCGAAGGCAGCUUACUACGCAUAUAUUGACGCUGAGGCACGAAAGCGUGGGGAGCAAACAGG
Molecule: ribosomal RNA, 253 nt
Filed under: uncultured bacterium
Lineage: Bacteria
Description: partial 16S ribosomal RNA
Rfam family: Bacterial small subunit ribosomal RNA
Source: RNAcentral